Molecule: long non-coding RNA, 1959 nt
Filed under: Homo sapiens (human)
Lineage: Eukaryota; Metazoa; Chordata; Mammalia; Primates; Hominidae
Description: uncharacterized LOC101928730 (LOC101928730)
Source: RNAcentral
CCGCUCUGGGGGGUUUAUCAUCAGAAGGAGAGAGACCCGAGGGAGCCACCUGCCCACUCCAGAUGAGGUGCUCCGUGGAACACGAGGAGCACACGAAACCCGAUCAGCUUUGUGUGACUUCCGCGUGUGGGGUGGCACGCGUGUGCUUGCUAUUCAUUGUUUCUGCUGGGGGCAUUUUUAUCUUUUGAAAUUCUUUCUUCUGAACCUUUCGUGCCUACCAGAACCAGCCUGUCAGGAUGCGCCUGAUCUCCACAGCAGCCCCUCCAUCCGACUCUGAAGAAGCCGUCAGCUCACAGAAGAUUCCUUUUGUUUAAUGAGUAACAGCUACUGACUCACUCCAUGGCCCACCAGAAUGACAGACUCCUGUUCAAAAGCCUGAUCUGAAGUUGCUGCCAUGACACAAGCAAUGCCUGUGAAGUGCCUGCAGCCCACGCCUCUGAGACAGGCCAGGCGUGUGGUGGACACGCAGCUGCAGGCGCUUGCUCUCUGUCAUCACGAGAAAAAGUAUCCCUGCACCGGACAAGAAAGGACCUGCAGGCACACUCACAAUCAACUUCCUGAUUUCACAAUGAUGGUAGGGAGCCCUGUGGGCACUAGAAGCAGCGGGGAGGGGUUCUAGACCUUUGGUGCCCAAGAGACUUCCGUGCAUGGAAAAUGUUGACUUCUAGCUUCCAUCUGCAGCGAACUCUCCAUCGGGACAUGGGACCUGGCUGUACGAGUUAAUUCAAACUGAGCCACUUUCCAUUAGGGCACCAAAUGGAGUUAGCAAUCCAAGAUUAUUUUAUUUUCUGGGCUAUCCAGAUGACUUAAAGCCUCGCUGAAGUUCCCAUGAGAAGAGUUUAAACAACCCAAAGAAAGCACAUCAUGGUCGACUGCAGGGAACUGAAACUACAGAAAUGAACACUUCCAAUAAGAGGCAACUACUGUUCUCAAACGGCCCUAAAAGGCACCGAGACUUUCACCUUGUCACGAAGAUGCCCAGGGAGCCCACGGAGAGGUCAACAUGGCAAGCACUGGAGGUGGAAGGGGUCAUGGGGGUCUGGUCCUCCUGCCACAGUCAAGCUUUCAGAUGAUGCAGCCUGCUGACAUUGUGACUGAAGGACACCAAGCUGGAACUACCCAUCUAGGCCUCUCUGGACUCUUGGCCCACAGAAGCCAGGUGAAGCAGAAUCAGAGAAGGCUUGAAGCUCAGCCUCCCCAAGCUACGAAUGCAUGAUUGCACCAGCGCAAGACAGGAAUCCCCAGUCCCGGCUGCAGGGGCCAGGGCAGCUUGGACUCUCCACGGCUCUUCAGCUUGGCUUUCUGGGCAUUUCAAGACAGGUCAUGGAAGGUCCACUGGGAGCCGAGGAUGCUGUUCUUGCAGUAAAGGUCUCAGCUUCUGCUAUGCCAGUCAAUCGGGGUGAAGGAAGUGACUUUUCUUCAGAUGGAGAGGCCAAGAAUUUUAUGCAGAUAGCAACAAGGUCCCUGACACAGGGAAGCAAUAUCCCUGCACAGACCAGCUUAAGACAAGAUUAGUGUGGAGCACAGGAGGAUCAAGAGGAUCUGCACGGGGUGAGAUAAGGAAUCUGGACAGACCAGAAAAGAGGCGAUUCCCCAGACACCCAGUGAGAAGUGACAUUUGGGAGAUGAGGAUGGGCCAUUUACAUACAUCAUGAAUGGGAAUGCCUGUAUUGUUCAUGUAACUCGCAGGGAAAAUGUCAGAAAAUUCAUCCAAAUCUACAUUGUACACUUGAUGAGGCAGCCGAUUGGCUGAGAGGCUUGGGAAAAUCAGCCGGGUCUACCCAGAGCUUACGUAGCUCAGAUUGCGGGCACAUGGCUGUGGGGCACCCUAAUUCCUGAGGGUCCCCCCAACAUGGGCUGGCAAGGCGGGGAUUGCAAAAGUCUCCAGUUACCAGCACCCUGAACAUGCACCCUUUGAUUAAAUCACCCCACACCAAAAAAAAAAAAAAAAAAAAAAAA